AUUCUGCAGAGUCUCCGCUGCCCUCAUAUCUCAAACCCCGAUCCUGCACUAAUACUCCUGUCGUCUCACUUCUCCAGGGAGAUCCGGGAGAGGGCGGGCUUCCUGGCGGUCCGGGUGUGAAGGGCGAGCCGGGGUCAUCUGGAGAUCGAGGGAAUGCUGGACAAAAGGGAGCUCCCGGAGAGCCUGGUCCUAUAGGAACACCUGGUCUACAGGUAAGACAUCAGCUUCUAUACUUUAUAUCUAAAUGUACAAUCAGUUCUGCAUCAACACCACAU
This 275-nucleotide long non-coding RNA is filed under the name Astyanax mexicanus (Mexican tetra). Its description in RNAcentral is "lncRNA (ENSAMXG00005020920.1)". The record is from RNAcentral. Lineage: Eukaryota; Metazoa; Chordata; Actinopteri; Characiformes; Acestrorhamphidae.